Long non-coding RNA from Acanthopagrus latus (yellowfin seabream), 1638 nucleotides. RefSeq lists it as uncharacterized. The record is from RefSeq and is a predicted model, not a curated record. The transcript is spliced from 3 exons. NCBI's taxonomy places the organism in Eukaryota, Metazoa, Chordata, Actinopteri, Spariformes, Sparidae.
AAGUUCAUCUGAGUCUUUACCCAACUUCUGUCUCCCUUGUGUGGGAAAGCAUGAUCUAAAAAUGCACUCCCUGCUUUUAUUCCUUAAUGAAUCAGAAUUAAGUGAGGGGUUACAGAAGUUCAUACACCCCCUCCCACACUGCAAGAAGAAUGGAAAGAACUGCACCACCAUGACACCAGGACAUGCACACCAAUCAAAGCAAUUGCCUUAAAUUCAUUGUUUGCCUGUCAGCUGGAAGCAAAUAAUGAAAUCAAACCAAACAAUCUCCAAUCACACCUUGAUUUUCACUUGAAUGAAAAAGCCCUGUUCUCCAGCAUGGAGCUACAGUCACACCCUGGUAUGAUUGUGAUUGCUGCUCCAUCUUAAAUACAGUACAGGGACCAGCUUUGAGUGGGCGGUGUGGUAACGCAUUCUGUUAUCUCCCUCCCACCCCCUCGUUGAGCUGAACUGUUGAGCCCAGCCUUUUCUGAGGAAAAAGGAAAAAUAAACACUCAAGAGUUUUUUGAUAAAGCGGAAGGUGUGAAGCGCACUGAGGGGCGUGCAUCUUAUCGCUGCCCCGGCCCACAUGGUGUUCCAUCGGUUGGUAAACACUUGGGGUGACAGUGGUCACAUAAUGUUUCUGUUUGUACAUUCCAGGCUGGUGAUGAGACGUCCAUUCAUUUCCCUCCCAUUCACCACAUUUUGACGAACCUGUCUCAGCUUUGAUUGUCAUAACUGCAAUUGAACCCUGCUUAGCCACCCAGGUCAGGCUACAUGAACGGCAUCCAUAUUCCAUGCAGCAUCGCAGUCAUCUGACAAAAGGGAUUUUUUUUUUUUCCUUUUCAGUUUGUGAAUUGAAAUCAUGCCUCAUAUUUCAUUAGACACUCAGAAAAGCCUUCGCUCUGUGGUCAGAUGGGCCGUAUGUUUUAUUCAUGUCCUCUGAACAUCUGCUUGUCCGGAUGUCAAAAAUCAUCAGGCUCCCACAGGACUCCCGCCCGACUGGUUGUAAAUGAACUCCCGAUGUCGAGACUCAAAACAACCUGUCAGGGCUCUCCACCACCAGGGGAAUGCUUCAGUACAUCAGCGGAGCUUUCGGUGGAUUUUGACACUGCUGUUCGCUCUGGCUCCUGGUCGACAAGUCUCCCUGAGUCACCAGAGGCUCAUGCCAACCGGGAGGGAAAGAGCCUGACCACUAACAAGUGCUCACUGACUCAUAGCCGCCACAAAAACGUGUGGUCGUUUAGAAAUGCUCAUGCGUCCUUGCUCACAUGCAGCGCCCUCCCAACUCAGCUGCAGCAGCGAUGCAUGAAUUAAAAAAACAAUAAAAGAGGAAUGCAACCGAUUUUACUCUGAAAUGUCAUUUCAAAUGUCAUCGUUGCAAGUCACAGUUGACAAUUGCUCUGGAUGACUCUUAAAUUCAUGUAAUUACCUUGAGCGUGUUAUUCCAAAACUUUAAUCACAGCCACACUUCAUGUAACAUACUGUAUAAUAUCCGUGAUGCUAAAUGCUCAUGAUGGCAAUGCAAAUAUCCUGAUGUUUAGCAGUUUUAUUGUUUACAUCCUAAUUUAGCAUGUUAGCAUCUUAGAAAAUUGCUGAUUAGCACUAAACAGAAAGUAUAGCUGAAACUUUGACAAUGCUAACAUGCUGAUGUUUAGCAGG